RNAcentral lists this unclassified non-coding RNA (301 nucleotides) under soil metagenome. RNAcentral describes it as "partial contains small subunit ribosomal RNA and internal transcribed spacer 1". The record is from RNAcentral.
UUUCCGUAGGUGAACCUGCGGAAGGAUCAUUGCCACACACGAUCCAAGAUCGACACUAAUUUGUGAAAUGUUAUUGUUAUUUACUCUGUUUGGUUAUAAUGAAGUAGUGGAGAAAGCCGACUCUUCGCGGAGCACCGGUGAUCGAAACUAUGAAUUUGUAGCUUAGGAGUACUUUAUCAAACACCCCUUUAAACAAAAAUGAAAUAUGCAUUGGAACAAAACAGUCAUAACAAGUUUGUCUUGAUAUGGCGACUAGAUUGAAAAUUGUAAAAAACUUUUGGCAACGGAUAUCUAGGUUCUU